Molecule: ribosomal RNA, 253 nt
Filed under: uncultured bacterium
Lineage: Bacteria
Description: partial 16S ribosomal RNA
Rfam family: Bacterial small subunit ribosomal RNA
Source: RNAcentral
UACGAAGGGGGCUAGCGUUGCUCGGAAUCACUGGGCGUAAAGCGCACGUAGGCGGCUUCUUAAGUCAGGGGUGAAAUCCUGGAGCUCAACUCCAGAACUGCCUUCGAUACUGGCGAGCUUGAGUCCGGAAGAGGUGAGUGGAACUCCGAGUGUAGAGGUGAAAUUCGUAGAUAUUCGGAAGAACACCAGUGGCGAAGGCGGCUCACUGGUCCGGUACUGACGCUGAUGUGCGAAAGCGUGGGGAGCAAACAGG